RNAcentral lists this ribosomal RNA (1196 nucleotides) under endosymbiont of Haematopinus suis. Its description in RNAcentral is "bacterial SSU rRNA". It matches the Rfam family "Bacterial small subunit ribosomal RNA", at positions 63 to 1233 of the family's 1533-position model. Lineage: Bacteria; Pseudomonadati; Pseudomonadota; Gammaproteobacteria; Enterobacterales; Enterobacteriaceae. The record is from RNAcentral.
CGAGCGGCAACAGAAAAAGCUAGUACAGUUUUUGCUGGCAAGCGGCGAACGGGUGAGUAAUAUCUGGGGAUCUGCCCAAUGAAGGGGGAUAACUACUGGAAACGGUAGCUAAUACCGCAUAAUGUCGGGAGACUAAAGUGGGGGAUUAUAAAUGUAUUUUUAUAACCUCAUGUCAUUGGAUGAACCCAGACGAGAUUAGCUAGUAGGUAAGGUAAUGGCUUACCUAGGCUACGAUCUCUAGCUGGUCUAAGAGGAUGGACAGCCACACUGGAACUGAGAUACGGUCCAGACUCCUACGGGAGGCAGCAGUGGGGAAUAUUGCACAGUGGGGGAAACCCUGAUGCAGUCAUGCCGCGUGUGUGAAGAAGGCCUUAGGGUUGUAAAGCACUUUCAGCAGGUAAGAAGUUAGUUGUACUAAUAAUACAAUUAAUUGACGUCAACUGCAGAAGAAGCACCGGCUAACUCCGUGCCAGCAGCCGCGGUAAUACGGAGGGUGCGAGCGUUAAUCGGAAUUACUGGGCGUAAAGGGUACGUAGGCUGUUUAUUAAGUCGGAUGUGAAAUCCCUAAGCUUAACUUAGGAACUGCAUUCGAAACUGAUAUUCUAGAGUCUCGUAGAGGGGAGUAGAAUUCCAGGUGUAGCGGUGAAAUGCGUAGAGAUCUGGAGGAAUACCAGUGGCGAAGGCGACUCCCUGGACGAAGACUGACGCUCAGGUACGAAAGCAUGGGGAGCAAACAGGAUUAGAUACCCUGGUAGUCCAUGCCGUAAACGAUGUCGAUUUGAAGGUUGCAGAUAGUUAUAUUGUGGCUUUCGUAGCUAACGCGUUAAAUCGACCGCCUGGGAAGUACGGCCGCAAGGCUAAAACUCAAAUGAAUUGACGGGGGCCCGCACAAGCGGUGGAGCAUGUGGUUUAAUUCGAUGUAACACGAAGAACCUUACCUACUCUUGACAUCCAAAGAACUUAACAGAAAUGUUUUGGUGCCUUCGGGAACUUUGAGACAGGUGCUGCAUGGCUGUCGUCAGCUCGUGUCGUGAAAUGUUGGGUUAAGUCCCGCAACGAGCGCAACCCUUAUCCUUUGUUGCCAGCGAUACGGUCGGGAACUCAAAGGAAACUGCCAGUGAUAAACUGGAGGAAGGCGGGGAUGACGUCAGUCAUCAUGGCCCUUAACGAGUAGGGCUACCCACGUGCUACAAUGG